AACCUGGUUGAUCCUGCCAGUAGUCAUAUGCUUGUCUCAAAGAUUAAGCCAUGCAUGUCUAAGUAUAAAUCUUUAUACGGUGAAACUGCAGACGGCUCAUUACAACAGUGAUAAACUAAUAGAGUUUCGGGUCUAACCUACCUGGAUAUCCGCAGUAAAUCGGGGCUAAUACAUACAAACGAGGGGUGACUGUUUACGGAAGCUCCGCGAUUAUUAGAUUAACCAAUGCCCGCAAGGGUUUUGUGGUGAAACCGAAUAAUAUUGCAGAUCGAAGCCUAGCUUCGACAAUUCUAUUGUGUCACUGCCCUAUCAACUUUCGAUGGUACGGUAUUGGCCUACCAUGGUUUUUACGGGUAACGGAGAAUUAGGGUUCGAUUCCGGAGAGGGCGCCUGAGAAAUGGCGACCACUUCUAUGGAAGGCAGCAGGCGCGCAAAUUACUCAAUCCCAAUACGGGGAAGUAGUGACAAUAAAUAUUGAUGCCUAUUCGUUUUUCGAAAGGUAAUUGAAAUGAGUACAAAUUAAAUCUCUUAACUAAUACAAUUGGAGGGCAAGUCUGGUGCCAGCAGCCGCGGUAAUUCCAGCUCCAAUAGCAUAUACUAAAGUUGUUGCGGUUAAAAAGCUCGUAGUUGAAAGUAAAUUUACAUUGGGUUAAAGUCCACGUCCGCUUUGGUGGUCGCUGGUCUCCAUUGUAUCUUUUUAAACUUCACCCUUAAGGCCUCUACUUUGUAGCGGGUUCUUUUUAGGGUACUUCACUGUGAGAAAAUUGUGGUGUUCAAAGCGGGCGUCUCGCCUGAUCUUUUGCAGCAUGGUAUGAUGGAACAAGACAUUUUGUGUAAUUGGUUGCAUUUAAAGUGUAAUGAUUAAUAGGGGUGGAUGGGGGUGUUCAUAUUGGUGGGCGAGAGGUGAAAUUCGCUGACCCUAUCAAGAUGAACUUCUGCGAAAGCAUUCACCAAAUACUCCCCCAUUAAUCAAGAACGAAAGUUUGGGGAUCAAAGACGAUCAGAUACCGUCGUAGUCCAAACUAUAAACUAUGUCGACCAGGGAUCGGUUACUAUUUUUUAAAAAUUUGAUCGGCACCUUGUGAGAAAUCAUGAGUGUUUAGAUUCUGGGGGGAGUAUGGUCGCAAGUCUGAAACUUAAAGGAAUUGACGGAAGGGCACACAAUGGAGUGGAGCCUGCGGCUUAAUUUGACUCAACUCGGGAAAACUUACCAAGCUAAGAUAUAGUAAGGAUUGACAGACUAAAAGAUUUUUCAUGAUUCUAUAAGUGGUGGUGCAUGGUCGUUCUUAGUUGGUGGAGCAAUCUGUCUGGUCAAUUCCGAUAACGGACGAGAUCUCGACCUGCUAACUAGUAGUACCUAUUAAUUCGAUAUGAAUGAAAGCUCAUUCGGAGUAAGUUAGUCAUCGCAAGGUGUCUGACACUUCGGUGGGUCGGUAAUUUGAUUUGAUAGGUACGAUAUAUAAACUUCUUAGAGGGACUACCUGUGGCAAACAGGGGGAAGUUCGAGGCAAUAACAGGUCUGUGAUGCCCUUAGAUACCUUGGGCCGCACGCGCGCUACAAUGUAAUAGGCAAAAAGCUAUCCUGGUCCGGAAGGAUUGGGUAAUCAUAUGAAUUUAUUACGUAACUGGGCUUGAUCUUUGUAAUUAUUGAUCAUCAACGAGGAAUUCCUUGUAAGCGCAAAUCAUUACUUUGUGCUGAAUAUGUCCCUGCCCUUUGUACACACCGCCCGUCGCUCCUACCGAUCGAAUGAUACGGUAAAGCCAACGGAUAAGGCUCUGCAGCAAUGCGUGAGUUUCAAAAGUUGUUUAAAUCUCAUUGUUUAGAGGAAGGAGAAGUCGUAACAAGGUAUCCGUAGGUGAACCUGCAGAAGGAUCAA
This 1877-nucleotide ribosomal RNA is filed under the name Tieghemostelium menorah. RNAcentral describes it as "18S ribosomal RNA". It matches the Rfam family "Eukaryotic small subunit ribosomal RNA". Lineage: Eukaryota; Evosea; Eumycetozoa; Dictyosteliales; Raperosteliaceae. The record is from RNAcentral.